RNAcentral lists this long non-coding RNA (389 nucleotides) under Elaeis guineensis (African oil palm). Its description in RNAcentral is "long non-coding RNA (EGUI_LNC078128)". Lineage: Eukaryota; Viridiplantae; Streptophyta; Magnoliopsida; Arecales; Arecaceae. The record is from RNAcentral.
CGAGCUUCCAUAAUACCAUCCGGACUUCUCCAAUAAUGAGAUCCUCCAUUCAUCUACCGGACUGCUCCAAACGCUCUCUGAGCUUCACUAUCAGUCGAUUUUCUACAGUGAUCGACUAUUCUCCGAAUCUCUUCCGGACUUCUUCCAGCCACGAUCGACUCUACUCCGAACUUCUAUUGCAAGCGGACUUCAUCCAAGCUCCUAUAAGAGCCAGACUCCAUCCGAACUUCUACAACGGAUGGGCUCCACCAGUCGGAUCUCUACUCCAAACUUUUUUCGGACUUCGUCAAUGAUCGAGCUUCUCCAGCAGCGAGACUUCUACAAUAAGAAGUCUCCAUCCGAACUUUCAUGGCAACCGAUUUUCGUCCGAGCUUCUAUAGUAAGCGGCC